ACACCUGCAGCCAAUCAUGAUAAUCAUGUAUUUAUAUAGAUUAUUAUUGUCAUUUUCACGAGCCUUUUGCAAAUAGUAUAAUAAUGAAUGAAAAGUCAUAGAGCCCUCGAAUGGACAAACCGAAAAUUACAUAGUAUUAUGAUCAAAAUAUUAAAAAGGUAAUUUACUUGUGAAGCACUCGCUAAGGAAAGUCUGUCAGGUCGUGAAGGCGCAUCCACAUGAUGCUAUUAUUGUUGUACACAUUUUUUUUAUUUUUUUCUUCUUGUCAACAAUAAACGAUUUGGGUUGGAGGAAAAGUAUUGCCAACAGCAUUAUAUUAUACUAAUAUAAAAUGUACAAGUACAAAAACCAAACUAUACGAUGGUAAUUUGAUACUUGUUUAGUAUUUAUAAACAUACGUAUGCAACGUCAGUCAAUAACGCGUGUAUAAUAUAUGAGAUUGAAGGAAUUAUUGUAUAUCUCUUUAAAGCAUGGGAUUUAAUAAAAUAUAUUUUUUCGUUUUAGGUUCUUUCAUAGUUGGUGAUCCAAUAUCCAAUUUUUUUGCCGUGAUAUAUUAUGCGCAUUAUUUUAUUAUAAACUUACGUGAUUCACGAAGAUCGUGAUCAAUAGCCAUCCAAGCGUCAUGGGAAUUGCGAGCAACAGCAGGAACUUCUUGCGGCCGAUGGAGCGGGAUAACUGGCCGGCCGGAAGUGCACCCAGGAGCGCGCCAAUCAGGUAAAUGGAAACGACCCAUGACGAUAUUUCCAUGGAGUUCAUCAUGAACAUCAUCUCUCCAACGGAUUCGGGAUGCUGCGGAGCCGUCCAGCCACCAACCACGGUCCCCGAAGCAAAUGACAUCACGGAAGC
Acyrthosiphon pisum (pea aphid) is the source of this 846-nucleotide long non-coding RNA. RefSeq lists it as uncharacterized. The record is from RefSeq and is a predicted model, not a curated record. The transcript has 2 exons. NCBI's taxonomy places the organism in Eukaryota, Metazoa, Arthropoda, Insecta, Hemiptera, Aphididae.